This 101-nucleotide transfer RNA is filed under the name Stygiolobus caldivivus. RNAcentral describes it as "Stygiolobus sp. KN-1 tRNA-Leu". It matches the Rfam family "tRNA". Rfam says of the family: Transfer RNA (tRNA) molecules are approximately 80 nucleotides in length. Their secondary structure includes four short double-helical elements and three loops (D, anti-codon, and T loops). The record is from RNAcentral. Lineage: Archaea; Thermoproteati; Thermoproteota; Thermoprotei; Sulfolobales; Sulfolobaceae.
GCGGGGGUGCCCGAGCAAGGUCAAAGGGGUCGGGCUUAGGACCCCAAUGGUAAGUACCCCGAUGGCGUAGGCCUGCGUGGGUUCAAGUCCCACCCCCCGCA